GACACUCUGGAUUUUUUUUUCAACCUUUUUUAUUGUUGUUGUUUGUUUGUUUGUUUUUCUGUGGAUCCGUGAUCUCUGCGUUUUUCUGAAGUUAAAAAACGUUUUAGCUUGUGAAGUGGCUCAUGCUUGUUACGUACUUAGUAGGCUGACAGGCUCACUCUGAGGAAAACCUGGGCUACACACAGUGUGACUCCGUCUUACAUUUGACAAACUGUCCACAAGCAUUUCCCCCAGUUUCAGAGUACUGCCUGGUAUAUAGUAGGGACUGAAUAACUCAUGAUUAUGAAUUACUUGCAAAAGCUCAGAAAGUCUGGUCCAAUCGGGGACUUGAGUGCUGAAGCAAGGGCAUGAGAAGGAAAAGAGAAAAGUGUUCCGGAAGCAAAAGCUACAGACACAGAACAGGCAUUGUAGUGUGUCUUCGGCAUAGUUUUGAACUUACUUUGCUCUGUUGAAAUACCUUGGCCAAAAGCAACUUGAGGAGGAAAGGAUUGAUUUUGCUUAUACUUCCAGAUCACAGUUACCCAUGGAAGUUAGGGCAGGAACAGAAAGCAGAAACCUGGAAGCAGGAAUCUAGAUCAGAAACCACGGAGGAAUGUUGCUCAUUAGCGAGCCCUCUGACUUGCUUCCAGCUCCCUUUAUCUUACACAGGCAAGGCCCAUCUGCUUAGGGAUAGUGCUGCCCACACUGGGCUGAGCCCUCCCGCGUCCAUCAUCAGUGAAGACAAUCUCUCACAGAUAUGGACACAGGCCAGUCUGAUAAUGGCAGUUCAGCUGAGAUUCCUUCUUGCCAGGUGGCUCUGGGUUGGGUCAGGUUGAAGAUAAAAACUAAGCAGGACAAUACAUUGCAUGGCACAUGCAACCCAGUCUUCAACUGCAUCAUGCAUCGGAACAUCACUUGUGUUUUCACUGUGGGUGGCAAUUUUGCCCUCUCCAGCUACGGGAGGCCACCACCAUCCACUGGGGUGGAAGGAUUUGCUCCACCUGUGUCCCCAGGAUGUUCAUGUUAGGAGUCAGCUGACAAGAAAGGUGGAUGCAGUUGUGACAUCAUGAAGGGUGCAUUACAUGUAGGUGUGUGUCACCCAAACAUAGUAGCAUCAGACAUCUCACCUUUAGAUUUCUUUAAUAAUGUCCCACUUGGAGUCUCGGAGGCCUUCACUCAAGUAGGGUUUAGUGAAGGCGCGUUCUGGAUCCUGGGGAGAGGGAGCAUAGAGAACUGAUUGCCCCUCAGCAGAUGCAUGCACUUUGUGGUGAGGACACACCCAUUCUCUGCUGUAGAGAUCUACUUUCAGACUGACUGACGGAGGCUCUCUGCGUUUUGCUGGCCCUCUAUUUCUCAGUUUUCUGAAAAUAUUUGGCUAUGAUGCUUUGUAAAGGCAAGUCUAUAGGUUAAGUUUUGGCUCAUAUUUCUGUCUUGAGCUUUAUCCUGUUCCUGUCAUUUUUCUAAAAAAAAAAAAAAUAGUGAGAGAAAAGAAAAAAAAAACAACCAAACUCUGCUUCAUUCUACAUUCUACAUCCCAACCUUUUUUCCUUUUACUAAUUUGUUAUUAUUUUAUCUUAUGUUUGUGAGUGUUUUGCCUGCUGUAUCUAUAUGUAUUACAUGUGUCCCUGGUGUUCUUGAAGGCCAGAAGAUGGUGUCAGAUGCCCUGGAACUGGAGUUACAGAUGGUUGUGAGGUGUCAUAUGGGUGAUAAGAAACAAACCCUGUCCUUGGAAAGAAGAGUCAGUAUGCUCUCAACGGAUCUUGUGCACUGUCCACAACUGGGGCAAGGAUGACACAGGAGACCAACAGGACAUUUCAGGCAAGGACGUUACUCUUGGAUGGAAUAUGUCAAUUGAGAUGAAAUAACUACGCAACAGCUAACUACGAUGAACUCGUCAUACCUGUGUUUCCUGCAGAGAAUUACAUUUCUUUCUCCUUUGUGGUGAAAUAGAGCUC
Peromyscus maniculatus bairdii (prairie deer mouse) is the source of this 1934-nucleotide long non-coding RNA. RefSeq lists it as uncharacterized. NCBI's taxonomy places the organism in Eukaryota, Metazoa, Chordata, Mammalia, Rodentia, Cricetidae. The record is from RefSeq and is a predicted model, not a curated record.